GAUCGUGGCUCAGGAUGAACGCUGGCGGCAUGCCUAACACAUGCAAGUUGCACGAGAAGUUCCUGGAGGGAGUCUUCGGACGAACGAAGGGAUGGAAAGUAGCGAACGGGUGAGUAACGCGUGGGCAACCAACCUUACACAGGGGGAUAACACAGAGAAAUCUGUGCUAAUACCGCAUAAGCGCACAGUACUGCAUAGUACGGUGUGAAAAACUCCGGUGGUGUAAGACGGGCCCGCGUCUGAUUAGCUAGUUGGUAGGGUAAAAGCCUACCAAGGCAACGAUCAGUAGCCGACCUGAGAGGGUGAUCGGCCACAUUGGGACUGAGACACGGCCCAAACUCCUACGGGAGGCAGCAGUGGGGGAUAUUGCACAAUGGAGGAAACUCUGAUGCAGCAAUGCCGCGUGAAGGAAGAAGGUCUUCGGAUUGUAAACUUCUAUCAGCAGGGAAGAAAAUGACGGUACCUCGACU
Molecule: ribosomal RNA, 470 nt
Filed under: Clostridium sp. cp01.19
Lineage: Bacteria; Bacillati; Bacillota; Clostridia; Eubacteriales; Clostridiaceae
Description: bacterial SSU rRNA
Rfam family: Bacterial small subunit ribosomal RNA
Source: RNAcentral